CUAAUUUUAUAUAUGUAUAUUGUACAUGUGUGUGUUUGUGUGUGUGAAAUAAGACACCGCAAACAGCUGAGAAUAUAUUCUAUCUGUAUUCAUUUUCGAAAAUAUGACCCCUGCAGAUACUACUUUUUGGUCCUUAAAUUAUCUUACAGAUAAAUCCCGGCACCAAACUGUUGCCUUUGAAGGAGCUCUGCUUACAAGAACCAAGUGACCUACGGGCUGUACUCUUAAUCAACAGUAAAUCUUACGUUUCUCCACCUUCAUCUAUGGAAGAUAAAUCAGAUGUUGGUUAUGGACGAAGUAUUUCUUCUUCAUCUUCCUUAAGAAGAUCAAGUAAAGAAAAGAACAA
RNAcentral lists this small RNA (346 nucleotides) under Pan troglodytes (chimpanzee). Its description in RNAcentral is "processed transcript". Lineage: Eukaryota; Metazoa; Chordata; Mammalia; Primates; Hominidae. The record is from RNAcentral.